This 429-nucleotide ribosomal RNA is filed under the name Acidobacteriota bacterium. Its description in RNAcentral is "Acidobacteria bacterium partial 16S ribosomal RNA". It matches the Rfam family "Bacterial small subunit ribosomal RNA", at positions 355 to 776 of the family's 1533-position model. Lineage: Bacteria; Pseudomonadati; Acidobacteriota. The record is from RNAcentral.
UGGGGAAUUUUGGACAAUGGGGGAAACCCUGAUCCAGCCAUCCCGCGUGUGCGAUGAAGGCCUUCGGGUUGUAAAGCACUUUUUGCAGGAAAGAAACGUCAUGGGUUAAUACCCCGUGAAACUGACGGUACCUGCAGAAUAAGCACCGGCUAACUACGUGCCAGCAGCCGCGGUAAUACGUAGGGUGCAAGCGAUAAUCGGAAUUACUGGGCGUAAAGCGUGCGCAGGCGGUUCGGAAAGAAAGAUGUGAAAUCCCAGAGCUCAACUUUGGAACUGCAUUUUUAACUACCGGGCUAGAGUGUGUCAGAGGGAGGUGGAAUUCCGCAUGUAGCAGUGAAAUGCGUAGAUAUGCGGAGGAACACCGAUGGCGAAGGCAGCCUCCUGGGAUAACACUGACGCUCAUGCACGAGAGCGUGGGGAGCAAACAGG